GGAAUGCAGAGCCAUAGUUGGAUGCCAAGAUCUGCUCCUUCCUCUGUCUGGCAAGCUCUACUGACCCCUGAGGUCGUUCCCAUGCUUGCAGAGGUUCAGUGGGCUUGGUGUUGGUUGUCGCUUGUGCUCACCUUGCUAUCACCGGGUGUUCUUCCUUUGCCCAUCAUAGGGGACCCCUGUUCUGAUGGGAUCUCUGUGCCUUCUGCUGAUCCCAGAGGACAUGGGUUUGUUCUCUUAUAUCCAGUAACCCGAAUGUAGUCUAGUAAGGUUUGCUCAAGUGAGAUGGAAAACGAAGAGGCAGUCUCCAAAACAGGCUCGCG
RNAcentral lists this long non-coding RNA (320 nucleotides) under Gallus gallus (chicken). Its description in RNAcentral is "long non-coding RNA NONGGAT009108". Lineage: Eukaryota; Metazoa; Chordata; Aves; Galliformes; Phasianidae. The record is from RNAcentral.